AAUUAUGAUUGUACUAUUUUACCCUUAUAGCCCCUAUUUAAAAUUUAUCAUAAAUUAUAAGUUAAAAGAAUAUUUACGUACUUAAAAUUUAUUUAACCCCAACUCAAAUAUUUCUUAAUUUAUUUAUAUAGCCCCAACUCAAACUUUAAGAACGUCAUCAUAUAAACGAUGAAGCAAGAAUUCAUGAAAAACAGGAAAGCAUUAUUUCUUGAACAUCAUCAGAUAAACGACGAAGCAAGAAUUCAUGAAAAAAGGAAAAAACUUUUCUUGAACAUCAUCAGUAAUCUUUCCUACAACAAUUUCACUUUGCAAGGCCCUGAGGAACCAGCUUGUCGACUAGACAUGAAUCGAAAUAUAAACUUGUUUCCCAGCUUGAGGCUUCACAAUUAGAACUGAAGGAGGCUGUUAAUGUCAAGAUCGAGAUUGAAGAACUGAAAAUUCAGGAAACAAAGACGAUAGCCUUGCAGGAAGAUCUAGAAAAAUUGAGCAAUGAAAAGCAAGCACCGGAAGAUGUUGUCUCUAGUCUAACUAAUAAUUCUGUUCAGAUGAAGGAGUUAUGCAACGACCUCGAGGCCAAGUUGCAGCAGUCCGAUGAGUUUCUUGCUUCAUCGUUUAUGUGAUUAUGUUCUUAAAUUUUGAGUUGGGGCUAUAUAAAUAAAUUAAGAAACAUUUGAGUUGGGGCUAUAUAAAUUUUGAAAUUACACGUAAAUAUUCUUUCAACUUAAUCCUUACAACUUAUAAUUUAUUACAAAUUUUAAAUGGAGGUUAUAGGGGUAAAAUGGUACAAUCAUAAGUAUUUUUUAUUAUCUUUUAAAUAAGGGGUUAUAGU
This is a long non-coding RNA of Salvia miltiorrhiza (redroot sage), 829 nucleotides long. RefSeq lists it as uncharacterized. The record is from RefSeq and is a predicted model, not a curated record. NCBI's taxonomy places the organism in Eukaryota, Viridiplantae, Streptophyta, Magnoliopsida, Lamiales, Lamiaceae. The transcript is spliced from 3 exons.